GGCGCACGGGUGCGUAACGCGUAUGCAACCUACCUUUCACAGGGGGAUAGCCCGAAGAGAUUUGGAUUAAUACCCCAUAAUAUUAUCGGAUGGCAUCAUUUGAUAAUUAAAACUGCGGUGGUGAAAGAUGGGCAUGCGUCCUAUUAGCUAGUUGGAGUGGUAACGGCACCCCAAGGCUACGAUAGGUAGGGGUCCUGAGAGGGAGAUCCCCCACACUGGUACUGAGACAGGGACCAGACUCCUACGGGAGGCAGCAGUGAGGAAUAUUGGUCAAUGGUCGGAAGACUGAACCAGCCAUGCCGCGUGCAGGAAGAAUGCCUUAUGGGUUGUAAACUGCUUUUAUAUGGGAAGAAUAAGGCGUACGUGUACGUUGAUGACGGUACCAUAUGAAUAAGCAUCGGCUAACUCCGUGCCAGCAGCCGCGGUAAUACGGAGGAUGCGAGCGUUAUUCGGAAUCAUUGGGUUUAAAGGGUCUGUAGGCGGGCUAUUAAGUCAGGGGUGAAAGGUUUCAGCUUAACUGAGAAAUUGCCUUUGAUACUGGUAGUCUUGAAUAUCUGUGAAGUUCUUGGAAUGUGUAGUGUAGCGGUGAAAUGCUUAGAUAUUACACAGAACACCGAUUGCGAAGGCAGGGGACUAACAGACAAUUGACGCUGAGAGACGAAAGCGUGGGGAGCGAACAGGAUUAGAUACCCUGGUAGUCCACGCUGUAAACGAUGGAUACUAGCUGUUUGGCGCAAGCUGAGUGGCUAAGCGAAAGUGAUAAGUAU
RNAcentral lists this ribosomal RNA (767 nucleotides) under uncultured bacterium. RNAcentral's name for it is "bacterial SSU rRNA". It matches the Rfam family "Bacterial small subunit ribosomal RNA", at positions 97 to 867 of the family's 1533-position model. The record is from RNAcentral.